This 1351-nucleotide long non-coding RNA is filed under the name Felis catus (domestic cat). RNAcentral describes it as "lncRNA (ENSFCAG00000052542.1)". Lineage: Eukaryota; Metazoa; Chordata; Mammalia; Carnivora; Felidae. The record is from RNAcentral.
AUGAUUGUUUUAUCACAGCUUGUUGAGAAAACUGCAGGAUGGAAAAUGUUUGCCAGAAAACACGUUAUGGGGCCACCUGGGUGGCUCCAUCGGUGGAGACACGAACUCUGGAUUUUGGCUCAGAUCCCGGCUGUGGCUCCUCCAUUGGACUCAGGAAAGUCUCAAGUUCCAAACCUUUGGUGUUCAAGAACCUCAUGGUCCAACACGGCUCACCUCACCAGAAUCCUCUCUUGCUACCUCCCCCCUUCCCAGACUUCUGCCUUGCCAGAGGAUAUACAAUCCAGAGUGCCUAUGAAUUCUCUGGAAUGCUUAUUUAAAAUACAAAGUCCUAGGCUCCAGAUUCUGAGGUAGUAGAUAAGCCUCAGGGCUCUGGAAGCUGCAUUGCAACAAGCUGGGCAACUCAUAUGGAGGGGACUUAUGGACCCCACCUGAGAAAUCCUGCUGAUCAGGUUCAACGCUAGCCUAUUUCUUAAAGCUUCAUGCUGUUUAGUCUCUAGCGUUUCCAUGCGCUGCAUUCACUACCUGGAGUACCCUUCCCAUUUUUCAUCUUCUGCCUUCCUGACUUCCAACCCUGCGUGGUUCUUUAUCCUUCCCUUCCAGGAUGCAGCUUUCAGGUGGUGUCUUCGGAGAAACCCUCACCACCCUUUCAAAGCUAAGCGGGUGAACCCCCCUUCUUUGUACACGCUAAGGAAUUUAUUACACUAUCACUGCCUGGUCACUGGUUUCUCCUGUAUAAGCGGAUGAGCUCCUUGUGGGCUUGCCUCUGAUUGGUGAAAUCUUCCAAACUUGACAUUUUCAAAAGAAUGGCAGCGCUGUACGAGGGCCAUUAAGUAAGUCCUAUCCCCUGGCAGCACAAAAUACCACAGAAAUGGCAUGGUGACCUCCUUCCAUCUUUCUGUUCAACAUAAUACCAAGAGUGAAUUUCUUUUAGCCUUAGUUAUAUAGCAUGUUGGCUUUGCUUAGGGAGAAGCAUGGAAACAUCUCCCAAUAAGUUCAGUGUUGAGCCCAGAAUUAGCUUUCUUUCUGUCUUUCAUUCAUUUGAUUUUUGAGUAAUCUCUACACCCGACAUGGGACUCAAACUCAUGGCUCCAAGAUCAAGAGUCGCAUGGUCUACCAACUGAGCCAGCCAGAGUGCCCUUCAGAAUGAACUAACUUUCAACACAACAUUUCAGGGGAGGAUAAUUAACCUCACUGAAGUGGAUGAUGAGUGUUUUUGUAAAUAUAUUUUAAAAAUUGCAGUCUUAUUUUUAAUAAGACCCAUGGUAGUAAAUCUCUAUGAAAAGCAGAUCUGAAAUUGUGUAGGGUUUUUGUGUUCAUUUGCAGGUUUCCAUUGGAAGAGGGGAACAUUUCU